UACGUGGCCUCUCUACUCCAAAUUUUAUGUUUUUCCUUUAAAUUAUUGGCUUCCAUAUAAAAUUAAAAAAAGAGUUCUUGAAUUUUUAGACGGUCGGUUUAGUGGAUACGGCGAAGGCGAUUUUUUAAGAGAAGUUGUUGAGGCCUUUCAAACGUUAUCUUCUUUUUUAGCCGAAAAGAAGUUUUUCU
This is a long non-coding RNA of Zophobas morio, 188 nucleotides long. RefSeq lists it as uncharacterized. The transcript has 3 exons. The record is from RefSeq and is a predicted model, not a curated record. Lineage: Eukaryota; Metazoa; Arthropoda; Insecta; Coleoptera; Tenebrionidae.